CCAUCGAGAGGCGUCCAAAUUUGAUUACGUAAAUUCCGGAAACCCCUCGUCGGAUAAUCGGAGGAGGAAGGCAAGGGCUGCGGUAUUUUGGCGGCGCGGGCUGCGGGCGAUUUUCCGGAUUUUUCCGGGAGAUUGGCCGCGAAAGCACCGCGCACUGUUGGCUGAAUUAUUGGAUUUCCAGGUGGCGGCGAGGCCUGGCCUGGCGUUACGGGAGCUAAACCGGGGAGUGAAAGUGAUCCGGUGAUCUUUCUCCCGUGACAGACCGCGGAGGGCGAGGCAGUCCUUCGCCAGUGUUCCUCCGGGUUUAUAUACGCUCAUAGUGUUUCGCCCGUUACUGGGAACGCGAUUCUGCCUCUUUGCCAUGGUUCAGUUCCAAGGAAUAGUCCGCGGGUCUCCUUGAUCAGGGAUUCGCUCUGGCUAUAGCCGCCCGCGGAGGCUUCGCGGCUCCGUUCCUGAAACCCUACACGGAGCCCCCGAUCCCACACACACACCACCACGGCGACCACUACCACGGCGAACGCGGCGCCUACGAGAGUCAACACAAAGUCGAUCUCGAGAGCCAACAUCAACUCAGCUACGACAGCGUCAAGAAGACUCAGAUAGGCGGGGCCACGGGUACUCCGGCUCAGGUUACGGAACUUCAGGUCUCGGUCACGGGUCAGGAGGUCUCGGAUCCCCAGGUUUAGGCCACGGGUCAGGAGGUCUCGGAUCCCCGGGUUUCAGCCACGGGUCAGGAGGUCUCGGAUCCCCGGGUCUCAGCCACGGUUCCGGCUCCCCCACCUUCAGCCAAGGCCCCAUCGGAGGCCCCCACAAAGACAUCGGCUACGGAUCCCCCACUUUCAGCGGUGGCCCCCGCACGGAUUACGGCCUCCCGAGUUUGGGCCACCAGAGCGGCGGUUUCGGCCAGUCGGGCGCUGGGAGCUUCAGCCAGUCCUCGGCCGGGAGUUUCAGCCAAUCCAGCGCGGGCAGCGUGGCGCACUCCGCGAGCGGCGUCGGCCACCAGAGCGGUUUAGGCCACGGCGGUCCGGAUUACGGCCACCAGACGAAACUCGACCACGACCUCAAGGGCCACGGUCUGGUCGGGCCGGGGCACAGGAUUGACUCGGUCGGUGACAGGUAUGCCAAGCGGGAUGAGGAGCACGUUAGAACCGGGAGUUCAUCCUUCAGCACGAGUUACAGCAGCUCCAACGCUGGCGCCAACUCUUAUAAGGAGUCCACGAUGAGGAGAUACUGAUAGACGAUUUAACUGAAAUUCCAGUGCGUUGAGGCGUGGUUGUACGAUCAAUAUCAUCGUCGAUAUCCCAAGGUCAGGCAGUUGGUGUCAACCGGAAAUGGACUACAUUUUGCAAUUAGGAACUAUGAAUUCCGGCCCGGUUCAAAAACAACGUAUGUGCCAUUAAUUCCUCUGCGCACAUAAGUGUUUUAUCAGUUAAGCCAGAAUUUAUAGGUCCAAAUUGCAAAAUGCAGUCCAAAUGAAGUAACGAAAAGUCCAAGUUCAAAAGGUUCGGCUAGAUGGACUUCAUUUUGCGAUUCGGAAGUACAACUUGCUACCCAUCUGUAAAAGCACUUAUCUGGAUAGAGAAACUAAUGGUACAUACGAUGGUAUUAAACUAAGGCACAAUUUAUAGUUCCUAAUUGCAAAAUGUAGUCCAAAUCAUCGUUUUCCAGAUGAAAGAACGUAACUAUCCUCUAUUUGGACUACAUUUAGCAAUUUUGAACUAUACAUUCUAGCCCGGUUUGAUAACAACGUAUGUGCCAUUAGUUUUCCUAUGCAUAUAGGUGUUUUUCCGGAAGAACCAGAAUUCAUAGUUCCAAAUUGCAAAAUGCAGUUCUGUACUCAUGGUAAUCUUGGGUUUUAAAAAAGGGGCUAUACUCUUUGAGGGGAUCGCUUGAGGCACUGUAUCCGACAUUUUGAAAUAUUUAGUGAGAGUUAAAAUGUAUGAUAAGCGGUUUAGGGUUUUGCUGAUAUUAUGAAGAAUUCGAGGGGAACUUUGUGAUUCGCGAAUUAAUGUUCAUAUAAGGUAUGCAAAGCGGAAAAAUACUUGAACUGAAUUAGAAAUAUAGGAGAAAGGAAGGGAUUUCGUUCGGAUUUAUUUGUGUAAAAUUAUGUCGUCGGCACUUCAAUACCAACGCCAAGUCUUUAUUGUGAUAUUAAGAAUAGGAGUGCCUCAUCAGUUUUACAUAAUUAAGAAAGUUUACUUAUGAAUGUGGAUAUAUGUGUAAGAAAAUUUGGAGGUUAUUCUAACUCCUAGAGAAUUGUGUAUAAAUAAACUUUUUGAGAAGAGGAUACUUCACGACUGCGUUUAUUAUUUUCACAAUUCAAAACCAUUAUUUACCAUUGAAUCAUCGAAUUAAAAACCAGACAUCUUGAAAAUGAUAAGAAAAUUUCUUUGUACGAACAUAUCACGAAUUUAAAAAUGAAGCGGCUAGUCUAGAGACUGGUAAACGACCUCUAAAUAAGAUCAUUGAUUUUUUCCUUAAACAUCUUGAUCAACAUUACUAAUAUCUAAUUUUUUACGAGGCCAAAAAAAAAAAAGAAGAAAAAAGGGAAAAAAGUGAGAGUAGAAACUUUACAAUUCAUUGUCUGUACACGUUAUCAACACCACAGACGUAAUCAUUGCACCAUAAAAAAAGGGUCAGACAGCGGAAUUAAAACAGUAAUCGGGGCUCCUUAAAAUAUAUAAUGAGGUGUGGAGAUCGAAAUAAAAUAUUUAGCUGGAGAAGUGGAUUGGUUAAGGAAACUCUUGACGAUGAGAGAAAAACUGAUGGUUUAAAAUAGUUGCCACGCAUUCGAUUGCGAUAUCUCUAUUUUUUUCUAGCCAUGUGCUUGCGAGUAUCAAGGUCGCUAUGUACCCAUGCACAUACGGUGCAAUGUCACGAGAUAAAUCAUUCAAUCAGGAUGAUAAGUCAUUAUAAAUUGUGGGUCAUACUUCUAGCAUAUGUGUUACCCUUGCAAUGUUUACUCGAUGAGCAUACAUCAGCAUAUCUAAGAGCAAGUACGAAUGUCCAAAUUCUAAGUAUUUCACUAGGGGUUCUGUACACGCGAG
RNAcentral lists this long non-coding RNA (3047 nucleotides) under Bemisia tabaci. Its description in RNAcentral is "lncRNA ENSSSA2NGG000185". The record is from RNAcentral. Lineage: Eukaryota; Metazoa; Arthropoda; Insecta; Hemiptera; Aleyrodidae.